This 439-nucleotide ribosomal RNA is filed under the name uncultured soil bacterium. RNAcentral describes it as "bacterial SSU rRNA". It matches the Rfam family "Bacterial small subunit ribosomal RNA", at positions 957 to 1393 of the family's 1533-position model. The record is from RNAcentral.
GAACGCGAAGAACCUUACCAGGGCUUGACAUGUAUUGUAACCCCGGUGAAGGCCGGGCAGCGUGGAAACACGCGCUUUACACAGGUGCUGCAUGGCUGUCGUCAGCUCGUGUCGUGAGAUGUUGGGUUAAGUCCCGCAACGAGCGCAACCCUUAUGAUUUGUUGCCACUGGUUCAUUCCAAGCACUCAAAUCAGACUGCCCAGAUUAACUGGGAGGAAGGUGGGGAUGACGUCAAGUCCGUAUGGCCCUUACGUCCUGGGCUGCACACGUACUACAAUGUCCAGUACAAAUUGAACCGAGACCGCGAGGUGGAGGAAAUCAUUAAAGCUGGGCUCAGUUCAGAUUGCAGGCUGCAACUCGCCUGCAUGAAGUCGGAAUCGCUAGUAAUGGUACAUCAGCAACGGUACCGUGAAUACGUUCCCGGGUCUUGUACACACGC